RNAcentral lists this ribosomal RNA (513 nucleotides) under uncultured bacterium. RNAcentral describes it as "partial 16S ribosomal RNA". It matches the Rfam family "Bacterial small subunit ribosomal RNA", at positions 28 to 507 of the family's 1533-position model. The record is from RNAcentral.
GACGAACGCUGGCGGCGUGCUUAACACAUGCAAGUCGAACGAAAAGAGGGAAAGAGCUUGCUCUUUCCGGAAUUGAGUGGCAAACGGGUGAGUAACACGUAAACAACCUGCCUUCAGGAUGGGGACAACAGACGGAAACGACUGCUAAUACCGAAUAAGUUCCAAGAGCCGCAUGGCCCAUGGAAGAAAAGGUGGCCUCUACCUGUAAGCUAUCGCCUGAAGAGGGGUUUGCGUCUGAUUAGCUGGUUGGAGGGGUAACGGCCCGCCAAGGCGACGAUCAGUAGCCGGUCUGAGAGGAUGAACGGCCACACUGGAACUGAGACACGGUCCAGACUCCUACGGGAGGCAGCAGUGGGGAAUCUUCCGCAAUGGGCGAAAGCCUGACGGAGCAACGCCGCGUGAGUGAUGACGGCCUUCGGGUUGUAAAACUCUGUGAUCCGGGACGAAAAGGCAGAGUGCGAAGAACAAACUGCAUUGACGGUACCGGAAAAGCAAGCCACGGCUAACUACGUG